This 370-nucleotide ribosomal RNA is filed under the name uncultured organism. Its description in RNAcentral is "bacterial SSU rRNA". It matches the Rfam family "Bacterial small subunit ribosomal RNA", at positions 526 to 896 of the family's 1533-position model. The record is from RNAcentral.
CGUAGGGUGCAGGCGUUAAUCGGAAUUACUGGGCGUAAAGCGUGCGCAGGCGGCUCCUUAAGUCAGAUGUGAAAGCCCCGGGCUUAACCUGGGAACUGCGUUUGAAACUGGGGAGCUAGAGUGUAGAAGAGGGGGGUGGAAUUCCAGGUGUAGCAGUGAAAUGCGUAGAGAUCUGGAGGAACACCGAUGGCGAAGGCAGCCCCCUGGGCUAACACUGACGCUCAUGCACGAAAGCGUGGGGAGCAAACAGGAUUAGAUACCCUGGUAGUCCACGCCCUAAACGAUGUCAACUGGUUGUCGGGGAAGUAAUUCCUUGGUAACGAAGCUAACGCGUGAAGUUGACCGCCUGGGGAGUACGGCCGCAAGGCUA